Molecule: ribosomal RNA, 460 nt
Filed under: Salmonella enterica subsp. enterica serovar Lubbock
Lineage: Bacteria; Pseudomonadati; Pseudomonadota; Gammaproteobacteria; Enterobacterales; Enterobacteriaceae
Description: partial 23S ribosomal RNA
Rfam family: Bacterial large subunit ribosomal RNA
Source: RNAcentral
CAUCCUCCAAGGCUAAAUACUCCUGACUGACCGAUAGUGAACCAGUACCGUGAGGGAAAGGCGAAAAGAACCCCGGCGAGGGGAGUGAAAAAGAACCUGAAACCGUGUACGUACAAGCAGUGGGAGCCCCACCACUAAGCCAGUGGUGAACUCCACAUACGCAUCCUUUGCUGAGGAUACGGUUAACGGAGCGAAAGCGACGUUCAACCUCAAAAGAAGCAGAGGGGGCUUAGUGGUGGGGUGACUGCGUACCUUUUGUAUAAUGGGUCAGCGACUUAUAUUCUGUAGCAAGGUUAACCGAAUAGGGGAGCCGGAGGGAAACCGAGUCUUAAUUGGGCGUUAAGUUGCAGGGUAUAGACCCGAAACCCGGUGAUCUAGCCAUGGGCAGGUUGAAGGUUGGGUAACACUAACUGGAGGACCGAACCGACUAAUGUUGAAAAAUUAGCGGAUGACCUGUGGC